Molecule: ribosomal RNA, 291 nt
Filed under: Triticum aestivum (bread wheat)
Lineage: Eukaryota; Viridiplantae; Streptophyta; Magnoliopsida; Poales; Poaceae
Description: partial small subunit ribosomal RNA
Source: RNAcentral
AUGAAGAGCAGCACGCUGGUGGCGAUCCUGGUCCUCCAGACCGUCAUGGUCAUGGGGAUCCUCUCACAGGCCGCCGCCAAAGACAAUUUCCCCAAGUGCUGCGACAACUGCAACUCCUGGUCGGGGUACCAAUUCUGUGAGGACGUCGGCCCCAGGUGCCGCCGCGGCUGCGCCAACUGCCAGGUGGUGCAGAUGAGCCCCGUGAAGACGUUCCGGUGUGGAGAUGGACGCCCCGUCUAUGACGGGCACGACACGCCCACGCCCUGCCCGCCGCCGUGCAAAAAGCACUGA